UACGUAGGGUGCGAGCGUUGUCCGGAAUUAUUGGGCGUAAAGAGCUCGUAGGCGGUUUGUCGCGUCGGCCGUGAAAACUUGGGGCUUAACCCCAAGCCUGCGGUCGAUACGGGCAGACUUGAGUUCGGCAGGGGAGACUGGAAUUCCUGGUGUAGCGGUGAAAUGCGCAGAUAUCAGGAGGAACACCGGUGGCGAAGGCGGGUCUCUGGGCCGAUACUAACGCUGAGGAGCGAAAGCGUGGGGAGCGAACAGG
RNAcentral lists this ribosomal RNA (253 nucleotides) under uncultured bacterium. Its description in RNAcentral is "partial 16S ribosomal RNA". It matches the Rfam family "Bacterial small subunit ribosomal RNA", at positions 524 to 776 of the family's 1533-position model. The record is from RNAcentral.